RNAcentral lists this ribosomal RNA (567 nucleotides) under fungal sp. ARIZ L105. Its description in RNAcentral is "eukaryotic LSU rRNA". The stretch from base 193 to 346 matches the Rfam family "5.8S ribosomal RNA". Lineage: Eukaryota; Fungi. The record is from RNAcentral.
UGGAAGUAAAAGUCGUAACAAGGUUUCCGUAGGUGAACCUGCGGAAGGAUCAUUACCGAGUUUUCGAGCUCCGGCUCGACUCUCCCACCCUUUGUGAACGUACCUCUGUUGCUUUGGCGGCUCCGGCCGCCAAAGGACCUUCAAACUCCAGUCAGUAAACGCAGACGUCUGAUAAACAAGUUAAUAAACUAAAACUUUCAACAACGGAUCUCUUGGUUCUGGCAUCGAUGAAGAACGCAGCGAAAUGCGAUAAGUAAUGUGAAUUGCAGAAUUCAGUGAAUCAUCGAAUCUUUGAACGCACAUUGCGCCCCUUGGUAUUCCGGGGGGCAUGCCUGUUCGAGCGUCAUUACAACCCUCAAGCUCUGCUUGGAAUUGGGCACCGUCCUCACUGCGGACGCGCCUCAAAGACCUCGGCGGUGGCUGUUCAGCCCUCAAGCGUAGUAGAAUACACCUCGCUUUGGAGCGGUUGGCGUCGCCCGCCGGACGAACCUUCUGAACUUUUCUCAAGGUUGACCUCGGAUCAGGUAGGGAUACCCGCUGAACUUAAGCAUAUCAAUAAGCGGAGGA